GCAGCAGUGGGGAAUAUUGGACAAUGGGCGCAAGCCUGAUCCAGCCAUGCCGCGUGGGUGAAGAAGGCCUUCGGGUUGUAAAGCCCUUUUGUUGGGAAAGAAAAGCAAUCGGUUAAUACCCGGUUGUUCUGACGGUACCCAAAGAAUAAGCACCGGCUAACUUCGUGCCAGCAGCCGCGGUAAUACGAAGGGUGCAAGCGUUACUCGGAAUUACUGGGCGUAAAGCGUGCGUAGGUGGUGAUUUAAGUCCGUUGUGAAAGCCCUGGGCUCAACCUGGGAAUUGCAGUGGAUACUGGGUCACUAGAAUGUGGUAGAGGGUAGCGGAAUUCCUGGUGUAGCAGUGAAAUGCGUAGAGAUCAGGAGGAACAUCCGUGGCGAAGGCGGCUACCUGGACCAACAUUGACACUGAGGCACGAAAGCGUGGGGAGCAAACAGGAUUAGAUACCCUGGUAGUCCACGCCCUAAACGAUGCGAACUGGAUGUUGGGUGCAACUUGGCACGCAGUAUCGAAGCUAACGCGUUAAGUUCGCCGCCUGGGGAGUACGGUCGCAAGACUGAAACUCAAAGGAAUUGACGGGGGCCCGCACAAGCGGUGGAGUAUGUGGUUUAAUUCGAUGCAACGCGAAGAACCUUACCUGGUCUUGACAUCCACGGAACUUUCCAGAGAUGGAUUGGUGCCUUCGGGAACCGUGAGACAGGUGCUGCAUGGCUGUCGUCAGCUCG
This 723-nucleotide ribosomal RNA is filed under the name Pseudomonas sp. Its description in RNAcentral is "bacterial SSU rRNA". It matches the Rfam family "Bacterial small subunit ribosomal RNA", at positions 348 to 1062 of the family's 1533-position model. Lineage: Bacteria; Pseudomonadati; Pseudomonadota; Gammaproteobacteria; Pseudomonadales; Pseudomonadaceae. The record is from RNAcentral.